Molecule: transfer RNA, 20 nt
Filed under: Pterisanthes eriopoda
Lineage: Eukaryota; Viridiplantae; Streptophyta; Magnoliopsida; Vitales; Vitaceae
Description: partial tRNA-Leu
Source: RNAcentral
UCAAGUCCCUCUAUCCCCAA